This 500-nucleotide ribosomal RNA is filed under the name uncultured bacterium. RNAcentral's name for it is "partial 16S ribosomal RNA". It matches the Rfam family "Bacterial small subunit ribosomal RNA", at positions 28 to 507 of the family's 1533-position model. The record is from RNAcentral.
GACGAACGCUGGCGGCGUGCCUAAUACAUGCAAGUCGUGCGGACCUUGUUGAAAGCUUGCUUUUAAAAGGUUAGCGGCGGACGGGUGAGUAACACGUGGGCAACCUGCCUGUAAGACUGGGAUAACGCCGGGAAACCGGGGCUAAUACCAGAUCGUUUUUUCCUCCGCAUGGAGGAAAAAGGAAAGGCGGCUUCGGCUGCCACUUACAGAUGGGCCCGCGGCGCAUUAGCUAGUUGGCGGGGUAAUGGCCCACCAAGGCAACGAUGCGUAGCCGACCUGAGAGGGUGAUCGGCCACAUUGGGACUGAGACACGGCCCAAACUCCUACGGGAGGCAGCAGUAGGGAAUCUUCCGCAAGGGACGAAAGUCUGACGGAGCAACGCCGCGUGAGUGAAGAAGGCCGUCGGGUCGUAAAACUCUGUUGCCGGGGAAGAACAAGUGCCGUUCGAAAAGGGCGGCGCCUUGACGGUACCCGGCCAGAAAGCCACGGCUAACUACGUG